Non-coding RNA from Bacillus pumilus SAFR-032, 100 nucleotides. The record is from Rfam. Lineage: Bacteria; Bacillati; Bacillota; Bacilli; Caryophanales; Bacillaceae.
AUUUGAAGAAAAAAAUAGACUUGUAUAACCUCAAUAAUAUGGUUUGAGGGUUUCUACCAGGAUCCGAUAAAUCCUGAUUACAAAAGCGUGCUUUCCUUUU